This 1275-nucleotide long non-coding RNA is filed under the name Cricetulus griseus (Chinese hamster). RNAcentral's name for it is "lncRNA (ENSCGRG00015036137.1)". Lineage: Eukaryota; Metazoa; Chordata; Mammalia; Rodentia; Cricetidae. The record is from RNAcentral.
CUGAUAAGAGCACAGGGGACUUAGUGGCAGAGUGGCACUUAAUGAUGGUGGUGACCCUGGGCUACCAUGGUGAGCUGCUCAUCUGGCUAGUCAAUCCUGGAGAGUAAACACUAACAUCCUAGGAUCCUUAAUUUCCCUGGUUUCCUACAGGCCUGGUUAGCGGACCACUUACCUUUGGGGUAUUCUGGAAGCAGAGCUCCUUUAGCUAAAUUCCACUUGUGUGAUUUAAAGUCUCCUAAGCAAAUCUAUUAGUGAGUCCUUUCCUUAUUACUUUGAGUUUCUUCCACAUCAAGCUUAGGUUGUUAGGAGUUGGUUACGUGAGAAAUCCAAGGGAGUAAUGCUGAUUGCGACAUUGUUCUCCUGAAGGCAAGCUAAGCAAACAGUCUGAGUACACGGGAGGGUGGCCGUCUUAAGUGAUUUCCAGGUGUAUUAUUAACUCUGGCUGUGAGGUUCAGCAAAAGUUCCAGUCUCUCAGUUCGUAAGACAUAUUUCUAGAAUUUUUGCAUCGCCACAGGGAGCGGGGAACAGAACAUCCAUGCUGAUUUCCAAACUCAACUAUUACCCCCUUUCUGAGGAAACUCCACACCCACGUGUAUUUUAGCUUAUUUGAUUUUACUUCACGUUUUAAUUUGAUUAAAUUCUAUCUGGAAGCCAUCAAGCCCAGCUUUACCCUCAGUGGCCACAUACUCUAUCCUGAAUUCAAGAAAUGACCUUUAAAAUUAAAGGAGCUCUCGAGUAUCAAGAAACAAGAAUCUUAGAAGAGAGUUUGAUAGGCCACACUGGGAAACAGGAUGAGCAGGUCCACGAGAGCCUUGUGCUAUGACACUUCAGAGAGGGUCUACUGCAAAACGAGGCCACACCGCUCCUUAUACCUCCAGCGUCAGUACCAGCAGACUUUGCAGAAAGCACCUGUCCUUUACAUUUGUUCUUGCCAUGCUGAGAACUUUGGCUUGCACUUCCUGCCGUCACCCAGACUGUUCCUCUGCCAUGACAUCAUCCAUUACUAAAGGAACCUCAAACAUUGUGCUGCACUUUGUAGAUGAGAAUAAAUGUCUCCUCUAUUGGAGACUGAGAACAGAACCCUGAAAGCAUCUGCCGAUUGCUUUGUCCCUUCCUGACCAGCCAGCAAGUGGCUUUCUUUCCUGGCAUUUUCUGUACAGUGAGUGAAGGCAGGUCCUGACAGCUGUGUCAGACGCACACUGUUUACUGUGCCUGUGUUUACAUCAGCCUUGUCUAUAUUGACAGCAAACAUCAUAGGGAGGGGAAGAAAGCUUG